RNAcentral lists this transfer RNA (77 nucleotides) under Polaromonas sp. RNAcentral describes it as "tRNA-Thr". It matches the Rfam family "tRNA". From Rfam's summary of the family: Transfer RNA (tRNA) molecules are approximately 80 nucleotides in length. Their secondary structure includes four short double-helical elements and three loops (D, anti-codon, and T loops). The record is from RNAcentral. Lineage: Bacteria; Pseudomonadati; Pseudomonadota; Betaproteobacteria; Burkholderiales; Comamonadaceae.
GCCCCAUUAGCCCAGUGGUCGAAGGCACCUCACUUGUAAUGAGGAGUUCGUCCGUUCGAAUCGGACAUGGGGCUCCA